Molecule: ribosomal RNA, 380 nt
Filed under: uncultured eukaryote
Lineage: Eukaryota
Description: partial 18S ribosomal RNA
Rfam family: Eukaryotic small subunit ribosomal RNA
Source: RNAcentral
CAAUAGCGUAUAUUAAAGUUGUCGCAGUUAGAACGCUCGUAGUCGGAUUUCGGGGCGGGCCGACCGGUCUGCCGAUGGGUAUGCACUGGUCGGCGCGUCCUUCCUUCCGGAGACCGUCCCUACUCUUAACUGAGCGGGGGCGGGAGACGGGACUUUUACUUUGAAAAAAUCAGAGUGUUUCAAGCAGGCAGCUCGCUCUUGCAUGGAUUAGCAUGGGAUAAUGAAAUAGGACUUUGGUGCUAUUUUGUUGGUUUCGAACACCGAAGUAAUGAUGAGAAGGGACAGUCAGGGGCACUCGUAUUCCGCCGAGAGAGGUGAAAUUCUCAGACCAGCGGAAGACGAACCACUGCGAAAGCAUUUGCCAGGGAUGUUUUCACUGA